RNAcentral lists this ribosomal RNA (433 nucleotides) under uncultured bacterium. RNAcentral's name for it is "partial 16S ribosomal RNA". It matches the Rfam family "Bacterial small subunit ribosomal RNA", at positions 29 to 507 of the family's 1533-position model. The record is from RNAcentral.
AACGAACGCUGGCGGCAUGCCUAAUACAUGCAAGUCGAACGAGACCUUUAGGUCCAGUGGCGCACGGGUUUGUCACGCGUGGGAAUCUGCCCUUGGGUUCGGACUAACUGUGAGACAUUGCUGCCAAUACCGGAUCAUGUCUUCGGACCAAAGAUUUAUCGCCCAGGGAUGUGCCCGCGUAGGAUAAGCUAGUUGUUUGGGUAAUGGCCUACCAAGGCGACGAUCCUUAGCUGGGCUGAGAGGAUGAUCAGCCACACUGGGACUGAGACACGGCCCAGAAUCCUACGGGAGGCAGCAGUGGGGAAUAUAGGACAAUGGGGGCAAGGCUGAUCCAGCAAUGCCGGGUGAGUGAUGAAGGCCGUAGGGUUGUAAUGCUCUUUUACCAGGGAUGAUAUUGACAGUACCUGAAGAAUAAGCCCCGGCUAACUACGUG